GAAGUGCGAUAAGUGUCAUGACUUGCAGAUCCCCGAGAGCUGACAAAUUUCUGAAUGCAAAUGGCGGCCAACUACGUUGGUCAUGUAUUGCAGAGUGUAGUUGUUCAUACUAAUCAUCCUCCCCAAUGGGAAGGGAUCUGCGCUUGUAUCCAAUGCGAGCGUGAAACGUCAGAGUGGACCGCCUUUCUCUCACGAGAAAGGCGAUCCAACUUCGGAAUCAAAAUCUUAGAAGUUAUGCUCUGGUGGCAACACACCAUUCUCCUAUUCACCUCUGCAAUGCAGGAAAACCCGCUGAACUUAA
Molecule: unclassified non-coding RNA, 301 nt
Filed under: uncultured fungus
Lineage: Eukaryota; Fungi
Description: sequence contains ITS1
Rfam family: 5.8S ribosomal RNA (bases 1-100)
Source: RNAcentral